AUAUCCUGCUAGCUGUACAUUACUUCCAUGUACCUCAAAACCUCAGCCUGUUCCCUAUUCCUUUGAAAAGGCACCUAGCCUGAGUUUCUCAUUUCCUUUUUGAAGAAAGGGAUGAACCAGUGAUGUUUUGGAAGUUAAAAAGGAAUAAUCUGUAAUAUGAAUGGAAAGGCUAAGCUGAGGAGUGCAUUGAUAACCGGGAUUCACACUGAGGGGACAGAUGGGAGAGGUUCUAAACACUGAGCAGUCUGCCUUACAGAUCCUCAAAGAUAGGCUGUUGUCUUUGUGUGUUCACUUCGAGGAGACACUGAGAAAAGAGGCACACAGUUGGCAGUAAUGGAGAAUAGUCCACAGGGAUGGAAACCCAGGCCCCAUGACUUCAGCUGAGGCACUGAUGAACAGUCAAGAAGGACACUUUCGAUGUAACUGAGAUGAUGUCACCCCAGUGUUCUCUGGCAGCAACUUUGUGGGAAAAAAUUCCCAAGUUUAUGAAGAAAGCGAUACCAAAACCAAACAGAGAAAGCAGCAAAAUAACUUAAGCUAGGUCUGUAGCAAGCCUCUCCUUACCUAGGGUGGUACUGAGCGUCCACUGUAACAACAUCAGUAGAAAAAUGGGAUCCAGUGGUCUCUUAAGGUUUCCUAUGGGGUGAAAUAAAUGCACCAGCUUGGAGAAUGAACAGCA
This 679-nucleotide long non-coding RNA is filed under the name Mus pahari (shrew mouse). RNAcentral's name for it is "lncRNA (MGP_PahariEiJ_G0002498.1)". The record is from RNAcentral. Lineage: Eukaryota; Metazoa; Chordata; Mammalia; Rodentia; Muridae.